CCGGGGUGGCCGUCAGUCAUCACAGGCCUGUUUGGUCCCAAUAUCCUUGUUUUGCAAAGAGCAGUUCCUGAAAUCUCGCCGACUCGAGCUUUGCUCAUCUUUGAUUGGGGCAUUUUCAGCCGCUGAGGCCAAAAAUAACAAACACAGGCGGUGCCUUGCUGAGCACGGCCCCCGUUCUGGCCCUUUCUGUGUGGCCGGUGGCAGCUGGGUUGCCAGGCUCCAGGCUCGCGGAGUCUGUCUCCAUCCCCGAUGCAUCUGUCCUCAGACCCGGGCGUGCCGACGGGCAUGUCCAGCCCGACCUUCCGGGUUCCUAGACCCGGGUGGGGCUCAGGGACAUGGGCCCCGGAGGGUGCGUGCUGCCCCGUCUGUUUGCCUGUCUGGAAAAUUGCAUUAGGCCGGGUCACAUCUGCAUCACACAGGUCUCACCUGCACAAGGUGCACCUGUUGUGGACCAUUUGCGUGAACGCCGCCUACCGCCUACGUGGCAUCCUCUGUUUCACGCUCCCCUGGCCUGGACCCGCCUGAUGAGAACGCGUUGUCACCUCCGCUCUAGAACUGCCUGUGUGGCCUCAGCGGGUCUUGUUUUCUACCGCCCAGGGCGGCUGGAGAGACCCGGAGCCCAGGGAGUAGGGAGAAGUCGCGCACCCUACCCUACCGCCCCUGGGGGCCUCUGCAUUCCUGAGAUUCACCAUUCUGACCGGCUGUGGAUUAACCCUGGGGGCAAGAGCGUGACCUGGCCUCUCCAGCUUCCAUAACGCCGCAGAGCUACGUGUCUGGAUACGGGUUGUCUAGGUGGAGGCUGGGUUUAAGGGCUCUUCUGUCUGGCCCUGGCCCCGGGAAGACCUCUGCAACACCCCCUCUUGGCCUCGUCUUGAAAGACUCAGCCCAGAGGCCUCCACUUCCAAGAAGUCUUCCUUGAUUCUCUCCUCCUCUCCUUUCCGUCCCAGGCUUCCCUUUGCCCCUGUAAGGACCGUGCUACUUUGUCCCAGUCUCUUUCCAGGUCUGUCUCCCCAGUUUGCCUGUGGGACCUGAUGGCCGGGAGCCUGGAAGGCAGAGCGGAGAUGGGAGGGCCAAGAUCG
Molecule: long non-coding RNA, 1079 nt
Filed under: Lynx canadensis (Canada lynx)
Lineage: Eukaryota; Metazoa; Chordata; Mammalia; Carnivora; Felidae
Description: lncRNA (ENSLCNG00005002753.1)
Source: RNAcentral